This 579-nucleotide ribosomal RNA is filed under the name uncultured Lachnospiraceae bacterium. RNAcentral describes it as "bacterial SSU rRNA". It matches the Rfam family "Bacterial small subunit ribosomal RNA", at positions 33 to 607 of the family's 1533-position model. Lineage: Bacteria; Bacillati; Bacillota; Clostridia; Lachnospirales; Lachnospiraceae. The record is from RNAcentral.
ACGCUGGCGGCGUGCUUAACACAUGCAAGUCGAACGAAACACCUUAUUUGAUUUUCUUCGGAACUGAAGAUUUGGUGAUUGAGUGGCGGACGGGUGAGUAACGCGUGGGUAACCUGCCCUGUACAGGGGGAUAACAGUCAGAAAUGACUGCUAAUACCGCAUAAGCGCACAGAGCUGCAUGGCUCGGUGUGAAAAACUCCGGUGGUAUAAGAUGGACCCGCGUUGGAUUAGCUGGUUGGUGGGGUAACGGCCCACCAAGGCGACGAUCCAUAGCCGGCCUGAGAGGGUGAACGGCCACAUUGGGACUGAGACACGGCCCAGACUCCUACGGGAGGCAGCAGUGGGGAAUAUUGCACAAUGGGGGAAACCCUGAUGCAGCGACGCCGCGUGAAGGAAGAAGUAUCUCNGGUAUGUAANACUUCUAUCAGCAGGGGAAGAUAGUGACGGUACCUGACUAAGAAGCCCCGGCUAACUACGUGCCAGCAGCCGCGGUAAUACGUAGGGGGCAAGCGUUAUCCGGAUUUACUGGGUGUAAAGGGAGCGUAGACGGUGUGGCAAGUCUGAUGUGAAAGGCAUGGG